CUGUCAUCCUUCUCGGGUCUUCCUUACCGUGGAUUGAUCGACUCUUAUGGUUGAUUUGUUAUUUUAUUUUCUUUGAUUUCCAGCGACUACCUUGGCUUUCUAAUCUCUUUAAUGGUGUUGCCACCUGUCUGAUUAAGCCAUAAUCAAUAUUCAUGGCGAAUUAAGAUCGAGCCCCCUCAAUCUCAAUUCUAGUUCUGAUCAACUUUUAUUUUGAUUUCAGUUCAGCUCAUUUUUUUUUUCCCUCAUUUCUUAUUUUGAAUCAGACCACUUUGACUUAAGUAACUUAGUCCAAUUGCUAAAAGUAGUCUGUACUCCAUAGAUUAAAAGAUUGGAUAACUUCUAGAACCAAAGAUGAAAUGGAGAAACAUACAUUCAUCAGUUUGAGCAAAAUGAAACAUGAUCUUAAAUUUGACAUCAGUUGCCAUAAGUUUUCAAUUCACAUGUAUCUGCAACCACAAAAUGAACACACACAUCACAUCACAUCAUCAGUUUUUGAGAAUAAGCUUGCAUGCAAUGAGACAAACAAAAUGCAGAUUAACUGAGCCAAGGAUGACUUCCCCAGGGAACAUUAGCAGCUGUGACAAACACAUACUGCUGAGGUUGGUCGUAGCCUCUUCUCUCACAGAACAGGAAGAUGGUGCUGACUUCCACCGCCAUGCAUGCCAACUGAGCGCCCUUGCAUGGUCCCAACCACAUGGGAAGGGUACCCAGAGAACUUGAACUCUGGCUGCUGGAAGAUGUCAUCACUGUUGGAGGCACUUGUGAUAUCUGAGCAAGAAGUGGUAGAAGCACCAUCUCUGUGAUUUUCUGGCUGAUGAAUUUCAGAUUCUGACAUAUUUCCGGCCAAAUGAAGUUCAGCAGAGCCUGUGGCAUCCAGUCCAUGGCUUGAGAGUUUAGGAUUGGACUCCUGGAGCUGUUUCGCAUUGAGAAAGCGUCCACCAGAACCCCUAGCCCUCCUCAGUGCAUGAAGGUGCCGAGAUUCAUGAAGAUAUGGCUUCAGAAAUUUCAGAGUGACAUCAAAAGAAUAACACUUCAAUCAGUCAAACAAGCACACUGCCAGAUGGUUAGCAGGACAGAGUCAAAAGGCACGUACCUUACGACUUUUUAUGAGUUUAUUUUGAGCCUCGAGCUUGGCACGAUACCUUCUCCUCCUAAGAAUUGCAUUGUACUGUUUUGCAUUGACAAAAAUGGGUUCAUCUUCUGUAAAUUCAAGAGGGAGCGGUACCCGAGAAGAAGCCAUUCCAUACAUCUGAGGAUGAUGAAUCUGGUUCCAUUUCAUUGUUAGAUAUCCCAUCAGAGGGUAAUAAAGAAAACACAUUCUUGUCCACGAAAA
Molecule: long non-coding RNA, 1333 nt
Organism: Manihot esculenta (cassava)
Lineage: Eukaryota; Viridiplantae; Streptophyta; Magnoliopsida; Malpighiales; Euphorbiaceae
Exons: 2
Source: RefSeq, a predicted model, not a curated record